Molecule: long non-coding RNA, 781 nt
Organism: Nicotiana tabacum (common tobacco)
Lineage: Eukaryota; Viridiplantae; Streptophyta; Magnoliopsida; Solanales; Solanaceae
Source: RefSeq, a predicted model, not a curated record
UAUUUCCUUCUAAUCCAAUGGUCAUCAUCCCUUCCCAUCUACAUAUAAAAUACCCAAGUUUUCAAAACCUAAGACUAAAAAAAGAACGGCAACACUCCUAAUCUCGAAGACUGCCGUCUCCCAACUUCCCCCAAAUCAAAGACCUUCACGGUCUAAUUUCACCAACUCCAAAUACACGCACAGAACAUACAAGGGAUUCUUUGCACAAAAAUUGGGGGUGGGAAAAUAAAAAGAAACGAAAGAGUCUUCAACCCAUAUCACUUCACAUAUAUCACCUUAAACCAAUUUGAAAUUCCAUUAAAACCAGCUUUAAAAAAAAGACCCGAACAGUCAUCAAUUUCUCCAUUUUUUUUCCUCCGACGAAGCUCCGUUUCAGCCCUGUAAUGUCAUGGAAGAUAGAUCGAGAUAGACGAACUUCCAUGUGAGAGAUCCAUCUAAAGUUCCGGUGAGGUUCCCGUUUAGUAUGGUUAACGUGUUGCUGGUCUUAUUUCCAGACUUUUGUUUCUUUUUAAAAAGAUCCAGGUGACCGAGCGGCAGAGUGAGGGUACUCAGCAUUAUCAGAGUUUUCCGGAGACUGCAAGGUUGCUGCAUGGCGUCCGCAACCCUGCUUUCUUCCUUCCUAUCCUUGUUUUCCCCGCAUUUUAGAUUUGUUAUGUAUUAAACGGUCGAACUUUUAUAUUUAGAGGCUCUAGCCUCGUGACACCAAAUGUUUAGGCUGUGUUGGUUUAAUAUUUUAUUGAUUUCCGCACAUUUUAGCUGUUUUAUACAUUUCUUUUGAGAA